GUACACUCCUACGGGAGGCAGCAGUGGGGAAUAUUGGACAAUGGGCGCAAGCCUGAUCCAGCCAUGCCGCGUGAGUGAUGAAGGCCCUAGGGUUGUAAAGCUCUUUCACCGGUGAAGAUAAUGACGGUAACCGGAGAAGAAGCCCCGGCUAACUUCGUGCCAGCAGCCGCGGUAAUACGAAGGGGGCUAGCGUUGUUCGGAUUUACUGGGCGUAAAGCGCACGUAGGCGGACUAUUAAGUCAGGGGUGAAAUCCCGGGGCUCAACCCCGGAACUGCCUUUGAUACUGGUAGUCUUGAGUUCGAGAGAGGUGAGUGGAAUUCCGAGUGUAGAGGUGAAAUUCGUAGAUAUUCGGAGGAACACCAGUGGCGAAGGCGGCUCACUGGCUCGAUACUGACGCUGAGGUGCGAAAGCGUGGGGAGCAAACAGGAUUAGAUACCCCGGUAGUCCCAU
This 451-nucleotide ribosomal RNA is filed under the name uncultured organism. Its description in RNAcentral is "partial 16S ribosomal RNA". It matches the Rfam family "Bacterial small subunit ribosomal RNA", at positions 331 to 798 of the family's 1533-position model. The record is from RNAcentral.